Molecule: ribosomal RNA, 492 nt
Filed under: uncultured bacterium
Lineage: Bacteria
Description: partial 16S ribosomal RNA
Rfam family: Bacterial small subunit ribosomal RNA
Source: RNAcentral
AGUGGACGCUGGCGGUAGGCCUAACACAUGCAAGUCGAACGGCAGCACAGUAAGAGCUUGCUCUUACGGGUGGCGAGUGGCGGACGGGUGAGGAAUACAUCGGAAUCUACUUUUUCGUGGGGGAUAACGUAGGGAAACUUACGCUAAUACCGCAUACGACCUACGGGUGAAAGCAGGGGAUCUUCGGACCUUGCGCGAUUGAAUGAGCCGAUGUCGGAUUAGCUAGUUGGCGGGGUAAAGGCCCACCAAGGCGACGAUCCGUAGCUGGUCUGAGAGGAUGUUCGGCAAAACUGGGACUGAGACACGGUCCGGACUCCUACGGGAGGCAGCAGUGGGGAAUAUUGGACAAUGGGCGCAAGCCUGAUCCAGCCAUACCGCGUGGGUGAAGAAGGCCUUCGGGUUGUAAAGCCCUUUUGUUGGGAAAGAAAAGCAGCAGGUUAAUACCCCGCUGUUCUGACGGUACCCAAAGAAUAAGCACCGGCUAACUUCGUG